This 708-nucleotide long non-coding RNA is filed under the name Scleropages formosus (Asian bonytongue). RNAcentral describes it as "lncRNA (ENSSFOG00015028388.1)". The record is from RNAcentral. Lineage: Eukaryota; Metazoa; Chordata; Actinopteri; Osteoglossiformes; Osteoglossidae.
AUGACACAGAUUUUGUGUCCCACAGACACAAGAAGGAGAAGAAGAAGGACAGAGAGAGGGAGCGUGACAAGGACCGUGAGCGGAAAGAGGAGAAGGAACGGAGCAGAGAUGAGAGAGAGCGCUCCACCAGCAAGAAGAGGAGAAAGAGUAAGGACAAGGAGCGGGACAGGGAGAAGAGUGACACUGAGAAAGGGGACGUCAAGUGCUCUAAAACAAGGCCUGAUGCAAGGAGGGGUGCAAAGUAAGGGAGAGGUGCCGCAGGUGACUAGAGACUACGAUGAAGAGGAGCAAGGUUACGACAGUGAAAAGGGGGAGAAGAGGGAUUCUCCUCCAUCAUUGGAUGCUACCGAGUUGUCUGUGCCAGUGAAAGAGCCCAAAAUAAACGGUGAUGAUCAUCACGAGGAGGACAUGGACAUGAGUGACUGAAGCUGUGGUCAUCCGUAUGUGUAGGGUAUUACACAAGGUAUACCUUCCCAAUUUGAGUUUUUGGUUCCUCUUUACCUAAAGGAUGUUCUCCUUUAAUGCUCACAGAAGUCUGGCUCUGGUCAUUUAUUUUUCUAGAACCAUUUACAUCUGUCCAGACAUAAUAUGAAGUUGUAAAUGUAGCAGUUUUGUAUGAGGAAAGGCCUGUGUGCCUGCUGAGUUGAUGGGUUUUAUUUUUCUCUUGUCAUAUUUGUAAAAUACAAAUAAACUGUACAAGACAAAACA